CAGUAGCCGCGGUAAAACGUAGGUGGCAAGCGUUGUCCGGAAUUAUUGGGCGUAAAGGGCUCGCAGGCGGUUUCUUAAGUCUGAUGUGAAAGCCCCCGGCUCAACCGGGGAGGGUCAUUGGAUACUGGGAAGCUUGAGUGCAGAAGAGGAGAGUGGAAUUCCACGUGUAGCGGUGAAAUGCGUAGAGAUGUGGAGGAACACCAGUGGCGAAGGCGACUCUCUGGUCUGUAACUGACGCUGAGGAGCGAAAGCGUGGGGAGCGAACAGGAUUAGAUACCCCCGUAGUCCCUGUCUCUUAUAC
This 301-nucleotide ribosomal RNA is filed under the name uncultured bacterium. RNAcentral's name for it is "partial 16S ribosomal RNA". It matches the Rfam family "Bacterial small subunit ribosomal RNA", at positions 509 to 807 of the family's 1533-position model. The record is from RNAcentral.